RNAcentral lists this ribosomal RNA (253 nucleotides) under uncultured bacterium. RNAcentral describes it as "partial 16S ribosomal RNA". It matches the Rfam family "Bacterial small subunit ribosomal RNA", at positions 524 to 776 of the family's 1533-position model. The record is from RNAcentral.
UACGUAGGGUGCGAGCGUUGUCCGGAAUUAUUGGGCGUAAAGAGCUUGUAGGUGGUUUGUCGCGUCUGCUGUGAAAUCCGAGGCUCAACCUCGGACUUGCAGUGGGUACGGGCAGACUAGAGUGUGGUAGGGGAGACUGGAAUUCCUGGUGUAGCGGUGGAAUGCGCAGAUAUCAGGAGGAACACCGAUGGCGAAGGCAGGUCUCUGGGCCAUUACUGACACUGAGAAGCGGAAAGCAUGGGGAGCGAACAGG